AUGGUGGGGUCAAAAUGUAAAGGAUGCUUCCCAAAUCAAAUUGCAAAUUUUCUCCAUCAACUUUUCAUUGCCAGCUCUUUCCACCCACUCCUCUGUGCAGAAGAAAAGGAUAAGAGCUCACCUACAGCUGCCUCUGAGCAGGAUGCUCAGGUGGCAGAACCUCUGGACUGUGCUGAGCAGACACUAAACCACAGGGCUGCUAACUCAAUAGAGAGAUGGGAAAACACCCACUGGGAUCAGUGUUCACUGCUGGCACUGCACCACAUCAGGGGCGUGUUCUGCUGUGGUAGGUUCCACCCCACGUCUCAGCUCCUUCUCUCUGGUUUCCCUCUCCUUGCUGGUCCUUUUGCAGGAGCUGGUCUCAGCAGAAGCAGAGCUGGAAGGCUGCAGAGGGACUGCUCAUCCCUGUCACGCAGCACCAUGGCUGGUUUAAAAACACUGCCUGGAUUCCUCUGUCUCUCUCCCAUGAACUCCAGCCAUGCUGGCCCUGCUAUAGCUCCAGGGUCUCCUGCAGGAAGCCAGGUUGCUCCUCUGCUUCAUGGCUUAGUGAACCUUUCCAUCUCAAGCGUUCCUGCUCCCACACCACACCAAUCCAAAAGUGCCAGACCUCAGGAGGCCUGAUCUCCCAAACACUCACUCUUGCUGCAUCUCUUGCAGUUACUGAGAAACCAAAGAGUAGAUGAUUAACCUGCCAAUAUUAAUGUUUGUGAGUUGUUCUAAUCCAAGGCCUUUCUCUGAUACUUCUGCAAGAGACAUCUCAAAUUACGUUGACUACUCAUCCUACGUAUCUUGCCUUCAGGAAAGAAGAAAAUUUUAACUAUUUUAUUUCUAUUGCUGUUUCGCACCUAAAGACUGGAGUGUAUCAUGUCACCAAACAAACUGGAAUUCAUGAAGUUAAACUUUGCCUUCAUUGUCAUCAUUUUGUCAUCAUAUUCCAAAUGCUGUAAAAGGAGGAGCAACAAAAUAAAAUAAAAUUUUCUUUCUCUGAUUUAUUUCCAGGGAAACCUCAUCUCUUUCUGCUUCCUUAUCUUUGCUGAGAUCCUCAUCAGCUCAACAUCUUCCUCCUUCCUCUUCCUUCCAGAGACAAAGGAAAACUUGUUAUGAAAAUAACCAAAGAAUUUGGCACAUCAGAUUUUAGGAAGAUAUCUCAUUCCUUUCCAGGAAAUACUUAUCUUGAAGAAGUACCACCUUCACCAACUGCUCAGCAGAAAGACCAUAUACUAAGGUCAUAAAAUACUGCAAAUGCUUUUUGCAGACUGCAAAACAAAGGCAAACUAUUGUUUUCUAUUAUGGGAAAAGAUACCAAUAUAUUUUCACAGACACAAGUGGAAUCUUCAUGAAUGACAGUCACUCUCAGAUCACCUUGAAAAUGUGAUAUGAGCAGUCAGCAAUCAACAAGUCAUUGUAGCAUGAAAUAUGUGCUAUAUUAAACUCUUAGAUUUCACUUAAAACAUGUUUUGUACCUAAACAUUUUCUUUAGUUCAGUCCCCAUGAUUUUUGUUAUUCAGAAUUUCAUUUUGAGUUUUGGAUUGUAACAAACCGUGUUUUGUACCUAAACAUUUUCUUUAGUUCGGUCCCCAUGAUUUUGUUAUUCAGAAUUUCAUUUUGAGUUUUGGAUUGUAACAAACCCAAAUUAAAUCUAGAAGAAACCACAGAGUUUCUCUCAUUGCAGAAUUAAGCUGCAGAUGGUUUCAGUCAUCCACAAUGAGCAGUUUAGUGUGGCUCCAUCUGGCUUAGAACCAAGCCUGAAUUUCAGCUCUUUAGAAAAAACUCCUUGACACACCUCAUGGAAGUGGGGUUCAUGUGUUUGUCCAUUUUACACCAAGCAUUUCUUACAGCUCUAUUAAAAAAAAUAAUUACAAGAUCUCUUUAACUCAGUAAUAAUUCUUUAAAUAUGAAACCAUGCACAACUUCCAGUGUAGCAGCUUUUUCAGGAAUAUAGGUGACAUUUUCAACAGAAACGGUCCAUUUCAUUGGCUUGACAAAAAUCCAGGAAGUAAGGUCCUAGAAUGAAAUUCUCCCAAAAUUGCUAAUAAAGUGAAAUAGUAUCAUGGCUCAGAAUCACCAGAAAUCCCUCAAAAUGUGAGAGAAAUUUCACUGAGAGCUGGCAGGGUUUGCUGCUAUUUGAGGUCACCAGUAAUUAUUUUCAAGGGGUGAAUCCUUGUGACAUAGCCUCCCUACACCUCACUACAGUUUGAGAAAAAAUACAUAGUGAAAAGGAAACAUAAACAUUUUGAAUCCAUAGCCAAGAGAUAUGCAAGUAGUUACCAUGUCAGUGUUCAAGAGAAAAUACAAUGGGGUUUGCUGCUAUUUGAGGCCACCAGUAAUUAUUUUCAAGGGGUGAAUCCUUCAGGGUUUGCUGCUAUUUGAGGUCACCAGUAAUUAUUUUCAAGGGGUGAAUCCUUGUGACAUAGCCUCCCUACACCUCACUACAGUUUGAGAAAAAAUACAUAGUGAAAAGGAAACAUAAACAUUUUGAAUCCAUAGCCAAGAGAUAUGCAAGUAGUUACCAUGUCAGUGUUCAAGAGAAAAUACAAAAAAUGCCAAAUCAUUCUAAGCACUAUUGGCAGCCAGGAUAAACAGCAUUUGCUGGGCAGUAACACAGACAAUAGCUGGAAUUACACAAGUAACCAAGGCUUUAAUAUUAACAUGCAUUUUCCUCUCAUUGAUUUAGACUCACUGGAGUUGCAGUGAACCCCUCUGUAAAUAAUUGCAUUCUGUGUUUUAUACGCUGAAGGUACAAGUCCUGAGGGUGAGCUUGAGCAUUUACUGAGGGCCCAUUGCCCCAUUUGCCCCCACCAGGGCAGUCCCCUGGCAUGAGGAGGAUGAGCCAAGGCAUGGAAGGCAAGAAGAGCACAGGGCAUCAGCCACAAAUGAAAACUCCAGGCAAACCAACCCCUUUUUCCAAGUGCUGGCUCCAUCUGGAAGGAUGAGCCAAGGCAUGGAAGGCAAGAAGAGCACAGGGCAUCAGCCACAAAUGAAAACUCCAGGCAAACCAACCCCUUUUUCCAAGUGCUGGCUCCACUGGAAGCAAUGCAGAGCUACAGUUUGGCUCCUCUGGGAAUCAAAGGUGAUUUAUCAAUGCCUGCAACACUGAUUUUGGAGUUAUUCUUUGUCAAAGCUGAAACCUGAGGGAGUAAGGUCAUGGUGAUCCUACCCCAAUCCAUUAGGGCAUAUUUUGCUUCUCUGACAACUUUCAUGAGCCUUAAUCUCUUCUGCUUUUUCACCACACCUGCUUGACAAACAUCCCCAUGAACACCAGAAAACAAACACCCUUCCUCAGCACAGUCUAACUGAUUCAUAAGGCCAGAACAGCAAAAUUAAGCUCUGAAAUCUGCCUAUUUUUCUUCCAAUUAUGAUAUUUGUUUUAUCAAAGAAUCUGAAACAGAACACCACAUACUUUACUUAUUAAUAAAUAACAAUAGCUAAACCUUGUACCAGCUGCUUUUUGCUUUUUGCAGAUAUACACACUGAAGAAGUGUAUUAAAAGUAAAUCACUUUACUGUUCAUGGAAAACUAUUUUGCCUGAACUUUUCUAAAAGCCCUCACUGGUCCCCAGAUGCAGAUUUUCUCUGCUUUUAAACUUUCCCCCUGAAGACUGGACUAGAUGUAAUUAUUUCCUGAAAUACUUAAUCUGGCAGUGUUAACUUUGGCCAGUCGAAGUAAAUGUGAGUGAGCGAAGACGAAACAGUAAAAAUUUAACUCUGAUCCCUGAAGCCAAAUGCCCAGUGCUGCAGCAGCAGGCAGGAGACAGAGAGACACAAGCCUGUGAUGACCAAGACACAUCACAGGCUGGA
Long non-coding RNA from Ficedula albicollis (Collared flycatcher), 3797 nucleotides. NCBI's taxonomy places the organism in Eukaryota, Metazoa, Chordata, Aves, Passeriformes, Muscicapidae. The record is from Ensembl.